UGUGUGAUGCAUCAGAUUACGC
This 22-nucleotide non-coding RNA is filed under the name Arabidopsis thaliana (thale cress). The record is from RNAcentral. Lineage: Eukaryota; Viridiplantae; Streptophyta; Magnoliopsida; Brassicales; Brassicaceae.